CGUGUAUGAUGACACCUCGGUAAUGCUGCAAACUCCCGACUGCUCUGAGGAGAAUCGAACCUUGGAGAGCUGAACGAAGG
Oryctolagus cuniculus (rabbit) is the source of this 80-nucleotide small nucleolar RNA. NCBI's taxonomy places the organism in Eukaryota, Metazoa, Chordata, Mammalia, Lagomorpha, Leporidae. The record is from Ensembl.